GCUCGCUCUCUAAGAGGCAGGUGGAGCGGGCAGCGCGUAGAGACAUCCGCACAUCGUUUGGCAUUACAUUUAUAUCAUUUCAUAUAUGGAGAUGAGACAGUGAAUGUUUCUGUCUGCCUCUGUGUCACUUCUCUUUUUUUUCACCAUAUGUUUUGUGGAUUUACAAAAUUGACUUUUGUCGUCAUGAAUUAAAUUUUCUUCUGCUGCUGCUGUGUGUGUGUGUGUGUGUGUGUGUG
This 236-nucleotide long non-coding RNA is filed under the name Drosophila guanche. The record is from RNAcentral. Lineage: Eukaryota; Metazoa; Arthropoda; Insecta; Diptera; Drosophilidae.